AUAAAAUGGUAAUUUUAUGCUGUUCAUGGAGUGCCGCUCUUUGGGAACAGACGUAAAACUACGUAUAAUUGUAUCAUCUAAUCCAAAGUUUGUGGAAUACAUCUAAAUUAAGUGGUCUGGUGCAAGGAUUUUUGAUUACACAUGUGCAUUUUGUUGUUCCUUAAUACCCCUCUUGAAUCUUUUACCCCAUUUUGUGUUUCUUAU
This is a non-coding RNA of Pelobates cultripes (western spadefoot toad), 204 nucleotides long. The record is from the annotation of a GenBank genome assembly. Lineage: Eukaryota; Metazoa; Chordata; Amphibia; Anura; Pelobatidae.